AGUCCUGAGCCGUUUCCUUCCGUGCCAUCUCAAAACGAAUGGAAACAAUCUGUUUUUCAAGCGGCGCCUCCUUCCUUCUGUGGCUCCCUCGUUUCUUUAUCUAAACCACUUGUUUUUGUUUUCUCCUUCUUUAUUUCUUCCUCCAAUGUCUUUCUGCUUUCUUUAUCUAAUCCACUUGUUUUUGUUUUCUCCUCCUUUAUUUCUUCUUCCAAGGUCUUUCUGCUUUCUUUAUCUAAUCCACCUGUUUUUGAUUUCUCCUUUUCAGCACUCUUCUUAGCUUCUGCCUCGA
RNAcentral lists this long non-coding RNA (289 nucleotides) under Eutrema salsugineum. RNAcentral's name for it is "long non-coding RNA (ESAL_LNC001153)". Lineage: Eukaryota; Viridiplantae; Streptophyta; Magnoliopsida; Brassicales; Brassicaceae. The record is from RNAcentral.